UACAGAGGUCUCAAGCGUUGUUCGGAUUCAUUGGGCGUAAAGGGUGCGUAGGUGGCGCGCUAAGUCAGGUGUGAAAUUUCGGAGCUUAACUCCGAAACUGCAUUUGAUACUGGCGUGCUUGAGGACUGGAGAGGAGACUGGAAUUCAUGGUGUAGCAGUGAAAUGCGCAGAUAUCAGGAAGAACACCCGUGGCGAAGGCGGCUCUCUGGGACGGUACUGACGCUGAGACGCGAAAGCGUGGGGAGCGAACAGG
This 253-nucleotide ribosomal RNA is filed under the name uncultured bacterium. RNAcentral describes it as "partial 16S ribosomal RNA". It matches the Rfam family "Bacterial small subunit ribosomal RNA", at positions 524 to 776 of the family's 1533-position model. The record is from RNAcentral.